GUUGAGGAUCAAUUUCAUCACCAUCGCUACCCCUCCAGCCAGAAUUUCAGGCCUCCACGUUGGUUCUUCGAAGAGGUAUUUCCGCUUGCCGUGCGCAGGUCUUCAGAGACCGGUUUGACUUGACUGCUGGCGGCGUUCGGCUUGCUUCUUCGUCAACCAUGGCUCCUCCCUCGAUGUCGUUGGCGCGCUGUCUACUGAUGGUCGCGCUGCUCGCGGGGCAGGGCGGUGUACUGACCUCGGCCAGCUCGGACGGUAUGGCCGAGUGUGGUAAUAUCUGCGGCGGCUUCGUGCAGCUCAUGUGCGUGGCCGAGUGCCAUUGCGUGUUCUACCCGGACAGCGACUUCGGCCUCUGCCUGCCGCUCAUAUUCAACGAGACGAACCUGCCUGAAUUGAAGUUCUUCUGAGAGGCCACCGCUCUUUCCCCCAAAAAUGAACUUUGUGUCACGACAUUCCUUUGUUCUUCCUUCCUUCGCUCAUCAUAACGCUUUCAUCGCGGUUUCCGCUUCGAGAACAUGCCAUCCUGUUGACUUUUGUGGCUGGGAAAUUCAGCCGUUGUGUUUUAACUAUUUGCUUUUAAUAUACCCGUUGUUUUUUUCUCUCGCGGAACAUACUUAAAAAAACGGAACUGUCAUAUAUAGAACUUUAUCUUUCUUUAAUGUAGUCGACGUGGCUAGGCGCACAUUAGCAGCCAGAAAAACAAUUCGAUACCAAUUUCUGUAAUUAACUAAAAUACGCUAAUCAACAGUUCUUGGUAGCUUAUGCUCAGAUGGUUUCACUACUGAAUCACGCGUUAUUUCCUAGCACCUUGCUAGCACAUUUACUUUGAAAGUUUUUUUUUUUGUAUAGCACUUCUCGGGUUUAUGUCGCGUUACGGGAACGCUUGUUUCUUGACCUAUAGCAACUGUAGUGGGUACAUGUCAUAGCGGAGGAUUAUUGUCAUCACCAUCAUCUACCCACCAGCCAGAAAUACAAGCACACACGUUGAUUCUUCCAACGCUUUGCUUCCUCUUGUCGUGGCGCAGGUCUUCACAGGCUGGGUUGACUUGACUGCUAGCAGCGUUGUGCUUGCUUCUUCGUCCACCAUGGCUCCUCCUUCCGUGUCGUUGGUGCGCUGUCUGCUGAUGGUCGCGCUGCUCGCGGGUCAGGGCGGUGUCGUGACCUCGUUGACCUCCGACGGUCUGGUCGAGUGCGGUCGUAACUGCGGCGGCUUCGUGGGCUACAUGUGCGUGGCCGAGUGUCACUGCGUCUUCUACCCAGCCAGCGACUACGGCGUUUGCCUCGGGCACAUGUUCAACGAGAGCUACCUGCCUGAAGUGAUGUUCUGAGGGGGCACCGCUCUUGCUCCAAGAAUAAACUUCGUAUAUCAACAUUA
Molecule: long non-coding RNA, 1372 nt
Organism: Dermacentor albipictus
Lineage: Eukaryota; Metazoa; Arthropoda; Arachnida; Ixodida; Ixodidae
Source: RefSeq, a predicted model, not a curated record